This 489-nucleotide ribosomal RNA is filed under the name uncultured bacterium. RNAcentral's name for it is "bacterial SSU rRNA". It matches the Rfam family "Bacterial small subunit ribosomal RNA", at positions 28 to 507 of the family's 1533-position model. The record is from RNAcentral.
GACGAACGCUGGCGGCGUGGAUUAGGCAUGCAAGUCGAACGGUAGGAUACCUUCGGGUAUCUGAGAGUGGCGAACGGGUGAGUAACACGUAGGUGAUCUAACCCUCAAGAUUGGGACAACCCGGGGGAAACUUGGGCUAAUACCGGAUGUGAGCAACUUUUAGUUGUUUGAAAGGUGGCGUAAGCUGUCGCUUGGGGAUGAGCCUGCGUCCUAUUAGUUAGUUGGUGAGGUAACGGCUCACCUAGGCAAUGAUAGGUAGGCGGCCUUAACGGGUGGUCGCCCACACUGGGAUUGAGAUACGGCCCAGACUCCUACGGGAGGCAGCAGUCGAGAAUAGUCUACAAUGGUCGGAAGACUGAUAGUGCGACGCCGCGUGAACGAUGAAUCCCUUCGGGGUGUAAAGUUCUUUUAUAUGUGAGCAGUGCUUCUUAUAUUAACAGUAUGGGGAGAGAGAUAUUAGCAUAUGAAUAAGCAACGGCUAACUCCGUG